This is a long non-coding RNA of Oncorhynchus mykiss (rainbow trout), 5029 nucleotides long. The record is from Ensembl. NCBI's taxonomy places the organism in Eukaryota, Metazoa, Chordata, Actinopteri, Salmoniformes, Salmonidae.
GUCUGCAUUUCAGAUAGGCAUUCUUGGGGAAAAAAAUGGAUGUUUAACGUUUAGAGUGAUGCACAAUAUGUUGUAAAAUAUGUUGUAUAAUCUGCACCAAGGUAACAGACAGAGGAUAUGACGUAAACAAGGUUAUUUUUUUAUUUUGAUCAGGGCCUGUCAGUCAAACAUGCAUCUGGAAACUGGUUUUCUGGGAAAUGAACGAUACACGGGAACGAGGAGAAACACAUAGUAUCACCGAUACAAAUAUAAUUGAUGAUAUUUCUAUGGUACUGUAUCACCACUCCAUUAUACAAUAUGGUUAAUGCUCAGGUAUAGCCUAAAUGGGUGCCCAAGGUAGGGCAACUUCAUUCCAGUGGCUUUUGGCAUGUGUUCAUUAAUUCAUUCCACCCACUUGUGUUCUGUCUUUCUCUGCCCACUCUUUCUCUUCCUUUCUCUAUUUUCCUCACCCGUUUUGUUGGCGAGGAUAUGGCAGGCGUUCCUCAGGUGGCUCUUGAACUCAUAAAAUGUAGGACGUUAAUGACUCUGACUCAUGUCAAUUUUCAUAUAAUUCCUAUGACUGAAUAGGCUCCAUGCUUAGAUUUCAAAAUGCCUAUGCUGCAGGCACAUCAUUAAUGUGACAGACUCUCUGCAGGGUGACACCAAACGCUAAGUUCAUUAUCAAUCAUCUAACAAUAACCACUCUCUCGCAGGGUGACGCCAAGUUCAUUAGCAAUCAUCUAGCAAUUACCUAUGUAAUCAUUUUUUACAUUUUAUAUAUGAAAUGUGGAAUUUUAUUGCAGAUAUAUAGUAUCCUCUUUGCAUGACAAGUUUGUACCUUUUUAAUGCACCCAACUGUAGUUAGAGGGAAUCAUAAUCAUCAAUGUGAAGGUUUGUGAAGGUUUCCUGUGAAAGUUUACAGCAGGUCCCGGAAUCAUCAGAUGACACGCUGAAUUGUUUUCUCUGUCUGCACAGGAAAUUGUUGAAGAUGACUUCAACUGUCUCACCUGUGACCAACUUCACUACAGUAUUCUCCAAUACCACAAUCACCACCAAGUCCAAAGAACAAAUACUCACUCAGAGUUCAGGGGCUAUGAUUGCUGUCAUUGUCAUCGGGAUCAUUAUCCUUCUAACCAUACUACUUGUCACCCUGAGGACAUACAACAGGCGGACACAUGCGUCCAGAGUGCUGGGUACAGGCUCCAAAGGGCCACCUCGACAGAAGAUGUCCUCUUCUACGGUGCAGACCAGCAUGCCCUUGGGGAGCUUUGUGCUGUCAAGUAGUAUGUCCGAAAAUGGAUUCCGGCUGCCCCGAGUGGAACUAAACAGCCUGGACCAAAACAACUUGGAGCAACAAAGCAGAAUCAGCGAUUCGACAGUAGUCACCAUACACGAUACUCCAUCACUAGGGAAUACAUAGCAGGCCGCUAACGUAUUGGACAGGUGACAAAGUCAGCAUAUAAUGCUUGAAAAGAAAAUCUUUAUUAUGAACAAAGUGGUGCUAUAAGAACGCAAUGAAUAUGCAUGGACACUCCUGUGGACAUAAACAAUUGCUUUCUUGACUACAGUGUUCAGAACAUGGACAAAAUUAUCCUGCUGUCUGUGCAUUUGCAGCUGUGCUACAAGCGUUGGAGGAGAGAUGUGUACAAGAUUUACGGCAUGAACAUGGUAUCAUGUCUAGUUUUUCUGUGUGCGUACAUUUCUGUGAGGGAGUUGUUCACAGGGUUUUACAUUUAUUCACAUUAUUCUGAUGUAAGACUAUUAUUCUUUCUUUUUUAUCUGAAUAAUGUUGUUGUGGUUUUCAGGAAAAAUCAUGAGAAUGUUUCUGUGAAAAGUCGAUACUGGUUUGAAUACCUGUGGAGCAUACAAUUAUGAAAUAAUAAGUCCCAAUUAGUUUGAUUCCAAAGGAUUUUGCACUUUUCACUCACCCUAUCCUGUGAUUAUUUUUGCUUGUGGUUAUUUCAUUGAAAUAAAUAUUGAAAAUUAAUCUUGAUAUUUCUAAAAAAAAAGUGUGUGCAUGUUUCUGCUUGAAUAUGAUACAUUUGCAUUUCUUCAUUUACAGUGCAUUCGGAAAGUGUUCAGACCCCUUUACAUUUUACACAUUUUGUUACUUGACAGCCUUAUUCUAAAAUGGAUUGCAUAGUUCCCCCCCCCCCCCCUCAUCAAUCUACACACAAUACCCCAUAAUGAUAAAAGUUUUUAGACAAUUUUGCAAGUAAAAAAUAUAUUUAAAAAAAUGAAAUAUCACAUUUCCAUAAGUAUUCAGACCCUUUACUCAGUACUUUGUUUGAAGCAUAUUUGGCAGCGAUUACAGCAUUGAGUCUUCUUAGGUAUGACGUUACAAGCUUGGCACACCUGUAUUUUGGGAGUUUCUCCCAUUCUUCUCUGCAGAUCCUCUCAAGCUCUGUCAGAUUGGAUGGGGAGUGUUGCUACACAGUUAUUUUCAGGGCUCUCCAGAGAUUGGGUAUAAGUCCGGGCUCUGGUUGGGCCACUCAAGGAUAUUCAGAGUUUUGUCCCGAAGCCAAUCCUGCGUUGUCUUGGCUGUGUGCUUAGGGUCACUGUUCUGUUGGAAGGUGAACCUUCGCCCCAGUCUGAGGUCCUGAGCACUCUGGAGCAGGUUUCCAUCAAGGAUCUCUCUGUACUUUGCUCCGUUCAUCUUUCCCCCCGAUCCUGAUUAGUCUCCCAGUCUCUGCCGCUGAAAAACAUCCCCAAUGCAUGAUGCUGCCGCCACCAUGCUUCACCGCAGGGAUAAUGCCAGGUUUCCUUUAGAGGUGACGCUGGGCAUUCAGGACAAAGAGGUCAAUUUUGGUUUCAUCAGACCAGAUACUAUUGUUUCUCAUGGUCUGAGAGUCCUUCAGGUGCCUUUUGGCAAGCGGGCUGUCUUGUGCCUUUAACUGAGGAGUGGCUUCCGCCUGGCCACUGUAGUAUAAAAGCCUGAUUGGUGGAGUGCUGCAGAGAUGGUUGUCCUUCUGGAAGGUUCUCCCAUCUCCACAGAGGAACUCUGGACCAUUGGGUUUCUUGGUCACUUCCCCGACCAAGGCCCUUCUCCCCCGAUUGCUUAGUUUGGCCGGGGGGGCCACAGCUCUAUGAAAUCUUAGUGGUUCCAAACCUCUUCCAUUUAAUGGAGGCCACUGUGUUCUUGGGGACCUUCAAUGCACUGUAACAGACAGAGGUAAAAUGUGUUUUAUAUUGGAUAGUUAGUAGAUAUUUGUUCUUCUCUCAUCAAUAGCUAUUUAACCAAGCAUGCAAUGACUAUUAUAUUUUUUAUAAAUGUAGAUUUUUUUAUUUUUCAGAUUUCAAUCUUCAAUAGCUUUAAAAAAAAUUAUAGCAUGCCAUGUCUAUGGAAAUAAUAUAUUCUGAAUCAGGGGAGGAUGGAGAAAAAUCCACAACAUUUAGAUUUUUAUGGGGGAGGGGUUCAAUCUUUAAUAGCUCAAACAAUUGAUUCAGAAAAUAUUUUUUUUCAUGGUCACGGCACGCUUUGUUUAAGAGCUAUUGAAGAUUGAAAUCUGAAGAUGUUUUUAAAGAAAUAUAUGUUAACUAAAAAAAAUCUUUCUACAUCCUCCCCUGAUGCAGAAUAUAUAGUUUUCAUAGUCGUGGCACGCUUUGCCAAGAGAAAACCAAUAUCCACCAAAUAUCCAAUAUUUAAAAAAAAUGUACCUCGGUAUUUCGCAGACAGUUUUCUAUUGACUUUGAAUGAAUGGCUCAACGGGUGUCAACAGCUUGAGAAUACUCUAAGACUACUUUUUUUUUGUUCAAGUGACUGGCAACUGAAAUAUUCAGUGCCCUCAUCUGGUAGAAAGUAGCCAAUGGCAGAAUUUUGAGGCUGCAUUACAGAUCUCCAUUACUUUUAAGUUGCAAUGCGUUUGGGCGUCAUUUAAAGUGGAACUGACAGCAUUUUAGCAACAUUAAAUCUUAUUCAAAUCUGUUCAUAUUCACCCUCAGAAAGAAUGACAUGUAUUUGAAUGUUUUUCAUGUUUGAGAAAUGAGAUCUUACAUAUGGUCAUUUUCACAUUUUCAUACUUUCAUGGAAUGUUUGGGAAUGAUGUGGAGUAAAGCAUUUGUGACAAUUCUUUAGCAGCCGUGGGUUGGACAAUUGAUAGUACAUUUUUACAUUCUGUAAUGUUCACUUGAACAGAAACAGUGCUGUACUGAACGACCAGUUGACAAACUGGGAGGUGUUGGGUUGUGGGUUGGGGAACACUGUCAGCAUGGCCACCGCCCUUUAAAUAUGUCCACUCAUUGCUUCAGCCCACACCUAGCCACACACACCAAAUGUAAGCAAAAAUAAGUCAAAGGCUGUUCAAGAACAUACAAGAAAGUUUUUUGGGAAACGUGUCAAUCUGUACAAAACGUUCCGCAGCGUAGCAAACGUUCAAGCGAACUGAAUGGACCUCAGCACCGGACUCUACACAGACCUGUGCACCAUAGUCAUAGCAGUGCUACAGUAAGCUUAUAUGCAAAUAAGCCAUACGGCCAUCAUUCACUUUGAACUGGGCUGUGUGUUUGCAGGCACUAGCAACAACGGCACUUUAGAUCAUUAGAAAGCAUUUGCCAAAAGCCACAAAAUACAUAUACCUAAAUCGAUUUAUGCAAAUAUGUAAAUACCACGGGAGUCCUCUUACAUUUGGGAACUUUACAGUCCUAUUGAUCAAACAACCACGAAGAGCACAGAAUGUUGGUGCCACCUUAAUUGGGGAGGAUGGGCUCGUGGUAACGGCUGGAACUGAAUAAGUGGAAGCAGCAAAUCUUACCAGGCCAGCUGUGAUUUACAACCUAAUACCAAGGAACGUAUUGGUGAAUGAGUUAUAUUUGCCUGACUUUCCUAGUUAAAUAAAGGUUAAAUAAAAUCUAAUAAAAAUACAUAUUAAAUCGGGAAUUAAUUUCUUACUCUAUGUCAAUGAAUUUUGAGUGAAAUAGAACCUAUUUUUAAAACCUCUUUUAAAGUUGGUGUUCUAGCAUAAACUGGGAAUUUGAUAUUUUUGACUGAUAUGAUUGUUUGUUUUAUAUCUGCAAGGUAGUUCAAACUGUCUGUUCCAGUUUAAGAUUUUAC